This 307-nucleotide ribosomal RNA is filed under the name uncultured bacterium. RNAcentral's name for it is "bacterial SSU rRNA". It matches the Rfam family "Bacterial small subunit ribosomal RNA", at positions 28 to 334 of the family's 1533-position model. The record is from RNAcentral.
GAUGAACGCUGGCGGCGUGCUUAACACAUGCAAGUCGAACGAUGAAGCCCAGCUUGCUGGGUGGAUUAGUGGCGAACGGGUGAGUAACACGUGAGCAACCUGCCCCUGACUCUGGGAUAAGCGCUGGAAACGGCGUCUAAUACUGGAUAUGUCCCAUCACCGCAUGGUGUGUGGGUGGAAAGAUUUUUCGGUUGGGGAUGGGCUCGCGGCCUAUCAGCUUGUUGGUGAGGUAAUGGCUCACCAAGGCGUCGACGGGUAGCCGGCCUGAGAGGGUGACCGGCCACACUGGGACUGAGACACGGCCCAG